UCCUCUGAAUAUGAGGUUCUGUGUUGUCUCCUUUCUUAUCAUGAGAAGUGAGCACUUCAGGACUUUCUCCCAAAUCUCAUGGGAAACUACCUGCCUUUCUUUGUUCUUUGACCCCCUAGAAUGUCCCCUUACCUAAUGUAUUUCCGAGUUCUCCCCUCCUUGUGAGAUUCUGUCUUUUCCUGAGAGGUCAUUUCUCAAUGCUGCAAAAAUCUGUGACUUGUCAUCAACAUUUCCUCUUUGGUUCAUCGGGAUUAAAGAUGUUUAAGUUCUCCAGUUACAAAAAAAAUGGAAAUAGUAAAAUUUCCUGUGUUUUUGUUUUUAUUUUGUUUUUCCUUUAGCUGAAGUAAGUAUGUUCCCAGGGAGAUGUGUUGAUCUGUAGUCUUCUUUAUACAUGCUAGAAUUUCACAGACACUGAUCGAAGCUGUUUGCCUCCAGGGCACCUGACCCUAUUGCUGCCCUCACCCCAGGCUGUUCCUCCACUUCCCGACUUCUACACCGGAGUGUGAGCUACUAGAUACCAGAUAACAGAUCCUUGAUCUCCUCGGCUCCCCAGGACCUCACAAAGUGCCUGGUUUGCAGUGGCCACUCCAGACUCGGUGUCAAAAUAAGACAACUAAAACUCAGAGAGAUUGAAAACCACCCCCGAAUUGUACACAUGGUAAAUGGUAAAGCUGGG
Non-coding RNA from Odocoileus virginianus texanus, 676 nucleotides. The record is from RefSeq and is a predicted model, not a curated record. Lineage: Eukaryota; Metazoa; Chordata; Mammalia; Artiodactyla; Cervidae.